Long non-coding RNA from Pangasianodon hypophthalmus (striped catfish), 2027 nucleotides. RefSeq lists it as uncharacterized. Lineage: Eukaryota; Metazoa; Chordata; Actinopteri; Siluriformes; Pangasiidae. The record is from RefSeq and is a predicted model, not a curated record. The transcript has 3 exons.
AAUGGGAAAACAUCACCUGAUCUUCACCUGUCCAGUUUCAGUGAGCCUGUGCCCACUGUAGCCUCAGAUUCCUGUGGAACCUGAUGUGGUCUUCUGCUGAUAUAGACCGUCUUCCUCAAGCACUUGCGACAGGAACUCAAUGAAUAAGCUAAUGCAGGGAAAACCUAAUAGCAUUUGGCUUCCGGCUUCCUGACAACAAACUCACCUGCUAAUGCAGCAGAAUGUUGCUAGUGAUCCCAGUGCCAUUUCACCUAUUGGCCAGUAGAAGGCAGCAAUGUUUCAUCGUGGUCCUUGUGCUAGAUCACCAUGGAGACUCUGGUGUGACAAGCAAACAUGAGAGUGCGGUGAGAAACACACAGUCACAGUUGGACACAUUUCUGUGUGAUCUGAAUUAAAUCAUAUCCAUAUAAAUGGCAGGUAACCACUUGUGGAUUGGGUUUUAUGGAUCACCCAAAGUGGUUAAGCCUUCAGCAUCUUUAGAUACUGCGUCUAUUUUGCCUCCAAAAUCAGACACCAGUAACCCUGACACACUUUACCAGAACAUUCAGGCCUUUAGAACCCUAAUGGAAUUAAAUCUAAAUUUAAAUAUAAACUUGUAGACAAAUAGGUGAGUGGAGGAAAGAGAUAUGAGAAUUUUGUGUAGAUAAUUUUGUGCACAAAAAAUUCUCAAGCCAAAAGAUUUGCAAGAAAAUGUUACGUAUCAAAUAAUAAUAUUGCACACAGAUAAUAAUUAUGAAAUAAAUGUCUAAGUCACCAAUAACAGCUUGCUAGUCUUUCCCUGCUUUUAAUUAUUUUUUAAGCUGGUGAUUUUUGCUGACGUUUUUCCUCUUUCUCGAAUUUUUCCUUUGCACAUUUUUACAGUGUGUAGUCAAGUGGAAUUUUCCUCCUCUGAACUAUAAUACAUUGAAAGUUCAGUCCCAAGUGUCUUAUCUAUCACAUGGAAUAUCACCAGACCCUAUUAACAAAUAGAAUAUUUGGCACAGCAAGAUUCCCUCCCACAACAAACAGUGUCUGCAAGGUCUCUUUGGGUUUUCUGCCACUGAACAUUGAUAGGGAUCGCUAUCAAUGCUCUAUAUCUGCAGCAUUUUUUUUCCAUUUUUUUUUUUGCACAGCCAAAGAGAUAGCAUAUAAAGAAGAUAGAAGAGUCAGGAAGAAUACACUUAAAAAUCUAUGCUGCCAUGCAGUAAGAGUGGAAGGUCGUUCCAGAUUUUAAGGUCUCUUUUCACACUAUUGAUCAUGGAUGCAGUUCAGUGUUCAGAAUUUGUUGAGAUUAAUUGGUAUUUUAAUCCAUCUUAGACCAUUUAAAAUGCAAAUUUUGUUAGUGUGACAAUGUAAACUUUGCCUGAUAGCAUGGAUUUAGAUUUAUCAAAGAGGAUUUUGUAGGUUAAAUUGAGCCAGACUUUGGCACUAAAAGGCACAUUUCAUUAAAAGGCACAACAGAUUAUCAUCUGUGUACAGUCCUCACAAGUAAAAGGCACAUACUGUCUAACAAGCUCACACUGCAAAAAAUGACAUCUUAGCAUAUUCAAACCCUAUUGAAUAUAAUCAUAUUUAUCUAAUAUUUCCUAUUCAAUAAAUGAUUACAAUAAACCAAAUAUAAGAUUAUUAAACCUAUUUCUAGUUUUUUUUUUUUUUUUUUUUUACUAAUUUCAAGCUAAUUUCAAACCAGUCUUAUUCUAUUGGUAGAUAAGGUUAAUAAUACCAAUUAUCUAAUAAUUCUGAUUCUUUCAAGAAAUAAAUGCUUAAAUUAGCAACAUUCACUCUGUUUAAUCAUCUUGUAUGACUGCCAAUGAUAGGCUGGCUGAAUCUAGGCAUGUCAAAUGUCCUGGACUCAUGGAGAACAUUUUAUCCAUUAAGACUCUGUAUAAGAUAGGAAGUUGCACUUUGUUUAUGAAAUACCUUCUUACAUCUUAAAAAGGAAUUCUGAGGAGUAUAAGCCUUGAUAGGACUCCUUCAUUAUUUUGAAUAAAUGUUGUUUUUUUUCCACAGUAAUGUCCCCAUUAACCCCUUAUUAGCUCCCACUUACC